UACGAAGGGGGCUAGCGUUGUUCGGAAUUAUUGGGCGUAAAGGGCGCGUAGGCGGCCAUGCGUGUCUUCCGUGAAAUCCCUCGGCUUAACUGAGGACGUGCGGAAGAAACUGCAAGGCUCGAGUCCGGGAGAGGGGGGUGGAAUUCCCAGUGUAGCGGUGAAAUGCGUAGAUAUUGGGAGGAACACCGGUGGCGAAGGCGGCCCCCUGGACCGGUACUGACGCUGAGGCGCGAAAGCGUGGGUAGCAAACGGG
Molecule: ribosomal RNA, 253 nt
Filed under: uncultured bacterium
Lineage: Bacteria
Description: partial 16S ribosomal RNA
Rfam family: Bacterial small subunit ribosomal RNA
Source: RNAcentral